RNAcentral lists this ribosomal RNA (583 nucleotides) under Neisseria animaloris. RNAcentral describes it as "bacterial SSU rRNA". It matches the Rfam family "Bacterial small subunit ribosomal RNA", at positions 109 to 688 of the family's 1533-position model. Lineage: Bacteria; Pseudomonadati; Pseudomonadota; Betaproteobacteria; Neisseriales; Neisseriaceae. The record is from RNAcentral.
AGUAACGCAUCGGAACGUACCGAGUAGUGGGGGAUAACUGUCCGAAAGGAUGGCUAAUACCGCAUAUUCUCUGAGGAGGAAAGCAGGGGACCUUCGGGCCUUGCGCUAUUUGAGCGGCCGAUGUCUGAUUAGCUAGUUGGUGGGGUAAAGGCCUACCAAGGCGACGAUCAGUAGCGGGUCUGAGAGGAUGAUCCGCCACACUGGGACUGAGACACGGCCCAGACUCCUACGGGAGGCAGCAGUGGGGAAUUUUGGACAAUGGGGGGAACCCUGAUCCAGCCAUGCCGCGUGUCUGAAGAAGGCCUUCGGGUUGUAAAGGACUUUUGUCAGGGAAGAAAAGCUUGAGGUUAAUACCCUUGAGUGAUGACGGUACCUGAAGAAUAAGCACCGGCUAACUACGUGCCAGCAGCCGCGGUAAUACGUAGGGUGCGAGCGUUAAUCGGAAUUACUGGGCGUAAAGCGGGCGCAGACGGUUACUUAAGUCAGAUGUGAAAUCCCCGGGCUCAACCUGGGAACUGCGUUUGAAACUGGGUGACUAGAGUAUGUCAGAGGGGGGUAGAAUUCCACGUGUAACAGUGAAAUG